GCCUAUUAUUAUUUCUCAAGCCCAAACUACAUUUGGCGCAACUUUUUUUGGACCUCCCCGCGUUACUAAUUUCUGACCCGCCCGAUAACAGAAUAGGGCUUCUUGCUUCACCUUUUUACCUGCAACAAUUUUUCCCCAAUUUCAUUCCAUCUUCUUCUUCCCCUCAAAUCGACAUCGAUUUCUCAUCUGAAAGUUCAAAUCAAUCUCCGAUUUGUCUAAUUCGUUCUCUCCUCUUUCUAUUGAUACAUCUUUCGGCUCUAUCCGAUAGCUAAUUAUGGUGCAAAAAAGGCCUUUUGGUGAAGAGGAUCUGUAUGAGGUUUCAUCUAAGCAACCAAGGCAUGAACCCAGUUGUCAGCUAGUUUCAGUUUUGGAACUUUCUCGUAAAUCAGUAGAUGUGGAUGCUUAUGCUUCAGGUGGUGAUGAGGACAAAUCUUUGAGAAUCAUCCCUGAUGCAAACAAGAAAUUUGAUAGCCUCAUUGUGGCUGAAGUUCUUCUUUCUUCUGGGAAGGAAACUGAGAUGGGCAUUCAUGGAUCUGCUUCAAACUCUUCCUGGCCCACCAGUAGCACCAGUGAGGAAGACAACAGGCCUGAGGCUCCUUUUCACUUAUCGACGUCUCCUGAAUAUUACUAUUUUGAUCAUCCGUUCAGGGCUGCUGCUCAUCACAGGGAGAUAUAUUCUUCUCUUUUGAGUAAUGCUCAAAAGAUGGUCCCUAUUGGACCAGAUUUCCAGGCAGAGCUACCAGAAUGGACACCAUAUAGUAAUAAGGAUAAACCAUGCAUAGAGGGUAUACAUGAAACUCUGAGUCCUCCAUCUCAAGCCGAUGAAAAUAAACUUACUGGAAGGACUAUUAUUCCAAUGCCUAAAAUGGAGCUACUUGCAGAUCAGGUUGAGAAUAUUGGAGAGAGAAGAGUUGAAUGUUCCUGUAAAGAUAUAGGUUCCAUAAGAUGUGUUCAGCUAGACAUCAUCAAAGCAAGGGAAAAACUAAAGCUAGCCCUUGGCGAGGAGACAUUUGUUAGGUUGGGUUUUUGUGACACAGGAGAGGUAGUGGCAGAAAAAUGGAGUGAAGAGGAAGAGGAACUAUUUCAUGAGGUUGUAUUGUCCAAUCUUGCAUCGCUAGGCAAUAAUUUCUGGAACCAUCUUGCAAUUGAGUUUCCUUCACGGAGGAGGGAAGAACUUGUCAGCUAUUAUUUUAAUGUCUUUAUUUUGCGAAAACGUGCUGAGCAGAACAGAUUUGAUCCACUGAACAUAGACAGUGAUAAUGAUGAGUGGCAUGACGCAGUUGAUGAUGCUGAUGAGGUAGCUAAAAUGACGGAUGAAGAUGAGGAUUCUGUGGUUGAAUCUCCAGCAUAUCAUAAUGAUUUCAGCUGCAAUAUGAUCCCUGAGGAGCAUGAUAGACGAACAUAUGAUGAGGAUGUGGGUGAAGCAAUAUGGGAAGAUUAUAAGCCUGUAAAUUUUGGUAGCCGGAAGGUCUUCACGGAUGUGCAUGAAUCAUGUCCUGGUAAGUUUGAUAAUAACAGUAUUUAUAAACUUGGUACGCAUCCUCAAGACCAAGGACUAUCAAAUAAAGUGAUUGAGCAAGAAGUGCAAGGUGGCUCCUGUACCACUGAUGCAGCUGGGGUUAAUUCAGAAUCAUCACUAAGGAAGACCAACAAUGAUAAACAUUGGGCAAGCGAUAUUGCUGGUAUGGGCAGUUGCACGAAGCAUGAUAGUCUGUUGGAGUCAUGUAAUGGCAAAGAAUGGGAUGGUGGGUACUUGAGCUGUACCAGAAAUGAAGUUGAUUUGGUACCAACCCACACUAUGAUUGAAGAAGUCUUUGGUGACGGAGCUUGGAUAUACAAGAGCCGAGAUGGUUAGGGGUUAAGCUAUAGUCUAACUCUAGUUUCUCUUUCAACAAAAAGAAAAAAAAUGGGGGAUGUGAUUCUUUUAUUCAGGGGUUUAGCUAAGUUUUGACACAUUUACGUUCAUGCCGCAGAAGCUGGGAUGUGUGGUGGAAUCAAUCUGGUAAUGUUUCAUGUGCACGUUCCAGUUUUCCUUGUAUAUUCAUAAUAGUGGGAGUAUUUUUUUCUAACCCAGAUGUAAGAAAUGGCAUUGCAAGGGUGUUACAUAAGCUGAUGGAUGCUAAACUUUUGGAGCUGUACAGUAGCCAUUAUUUUGUUGUCUUAGCACCAGAUUCCUAGGAAGCUUGACUGACGGUAGUUUCUUAAAAUAAUAUUUGUAAAGUUAAGCUAUAUGGUUAAUUGAUCCAUAUUUCAAAAAAGGAGGAUGAAGAUCCGUUUAAAUUAUUGAAGUUUAGUUCUGUACAGAA
RNA transcript from Solanum stenotomum, 2306 nucleotides. RefSeq lists it as uncharacterized. The transcript is spliced from 4 exons. Lineage: Eukaryota; Viridiplantae; Streptophyta; Magnoliopsida; Solanales; Solanaceae. The record is from RefSeq and is a predicted model, not a curated record.